CAGUAGCCGCGGUAAUACGUAGGUCCCGAGCGUUGUCCGGAUUUAUUGGGCGUAAAGCGAGCGCAGGCGGUUAGAUAAGUCUGAAGUUAAAGGCUGUGGCUUAACCAUAGUACGCUUUGGAAACUGUUUAACUUGAGUGCAAGAGGGGAGAGUGGAAUUCCAUGUGUAGCGGUGAAAUGCGUAGAUAUAUGGAGGAACACCGGUGGCGAAAGCGGGUCUCUGGCUUGUAACUGACGCUGAGGCUCGAAAGCGUGGGGAGCAAACAGGAUUAGAUACCCGAGUAGUCCCUGUCUCUUAUACC
This 301-nucleotide ribosomal RNA is filed under the name uncultured bacterium. RNAcentral describes it as "partial 16S ribosomal RNA". It matches the Rfam family "Bacterial small subunit ribosomal RNA", at positions 509 to 808 of the family's 1533-position model. The record is from RNAcentral.